Molecule: ribosomal RNA, 450 nt
Filed under: uncultured Glomeromycotina
Lineage: Eukaryota; Fungi; Glomeromycota
Description: SSU rRNA
Rfam family: Eukaryotic small subunit ribosomal RNA
Source: RNAcentral
AGCAGCCGCGGUAAUUCCAGCUCCAAUAGCGUAUAUUAAAGUUGUUGCAGUUAAAAAGCUCGUAGUUGAACUUCGGGGUUUACCCAUUGGUCAGGCUUAAUUGUCUGUACUGGUGAGAUAAAUCUCUACCUUCUGAGGAACUUUCAUGUCAUUAAUUUGGUGUGAUUGGAAAUCAGGACUGUUACUUUGAAAAAAUUAGAGUGUUUAAAGCAGGCUAACGUCUGAAUACAUUAGCAUGGAAUAAUGAAAUAGGACGGACUGAUUCUAUUUCGUUGGUUUCUAGGAUCACCGUAAUGAUUAAUAGGGAUAGUUGGGGGCAUUAGUAUUCAAUUGUCAGAGAUGAAAUUCUUGGAUUUAUUGAAGACUAACUACUGCGAAAGCAUUUGCCAAGGAUGUUUUCAUUAAUCAAGAACGAAAGUUAGGGGAUCGAAGACGAUCAGAUACCGUCGU